Molecule: ribosomal RNA, 460 nt
Filed under: uncultured bacterium
Lineage: Bacteria
Description: partial 16S ribosomal RNA
Rfam family: Bacterial small subunit ribosomal RNA
Source: RNAcentral
CCUACGGGGUGCAGCAGUGAGGAAUAUUGGUCAAUGGGCGGAAGCCUGAACCAGCCAAGUCGCGUGAGGGAAUAAGGCCCUACGGGUCGUAAACCUCUUUUGCCGGGGAGCAAGGUCCGGGACGUGUCCCGUCCCGGAUGGUACCCAUAGAAAAAGCCUCGGCUAACUCCGUCCCAGCAGCCGCGGUAAUACGGAGGAUGCGAGCGUUAUCCGGUUUUAUUGGGUUGAAAGGGUGCGUAGGCGGGGUUUUAAGUCAGCGGUAAAAAGUCGGGGCGCAACCCCGUCCGGCCGUUGAAACUGGGGGCCUUGAGUGGGCGAGAAGAAGGCGGAAUGCGUGGUGUAGCGGUGAAAUGCAUAGAUAUCACGCAGAACCCCGAUUGCGAAGGCAGCCUGCCGGCGCCCGACUGACGCUGAGGCACGAAAGUGCGGGGAUCGAACAGGAUUAGAUACCCGAGUAGUC